RNAcentral lists this ribosomal RNA (400 nucleotides) under phytoplankton environmental sample. RNAcentral's name for it is "partial small subunit ribosomal RNA". It matches the Rfam family "Eukaryotic small subunit ribosomal RNA", at positions 587 to 977 of the family's 1831-position model. The record is from RNAcentral.
AGCUCCAAUAGCGUAUGCUAAAGUUGUUGCAGUUAAAAGGCUCGUAGUCGAAUUUAUGGCUGAGUGAACCUGAUCCAAUGCCUAGUGCAUUGCGAAUCGGUGUGCACCGGUCAUUCUUCUGAAGAGGCUGACUACCCUUGAUUGGGUCGGUCCAGAUUACCGAUUCAGAUCAUUUACUGUGAGAAAAUCAAAGUGUUCAAAGCAGGCUUUAAUGCCCGUAUGGUUCAGCAUGGAAUAAUAAGAUAAGACUUUGGUCCUGUCUUGUUGGCUAGAGACGAACCAAAGUAAUGAUUGAAAGGGAUAGUUGGGGGUGCUAGUAUUGAAUGGUCAGCGGUGAAAUGCGAGGACCCAUUUAAGACUAACUUAUGCGAAAGCAUUCACCAAGGAUAUCUUCUUUGAU